Molecule: unclassified non-coding RNA, 759 nt
Filed under: Hevea brasiliensis (rubber tree)
Lineage: Eukaryota; Viridiplantae; Streptophyta; Magnoliopsida; Malpighiales; Euphorbiaceae
Source: RNAcentral
AGCUGUAGUGAUUAACUGUUUGAUCUGUGCAUUAUCAAUCAAAAUCAUCAUCGACAACAACAAAAAAUAAUACAAUUUAUGGUUUGCUUAUGAAUAAGAUUCUUAACUGUAUGUGUGUGCAUGCUCUGUCCGCAUAAGUUCAACCAUUAGUCUCCCAUAUAUAAGAUUUAGUCUAAGUAUCAAAUGUAUAUUUACUAGAGUGCAAAUCAGCUCAACCCUCAAAAUCCCAAUUUAAAAAAGCAAUUUAAGCUAUUACAAUUAUUGUCUUGAACAAAUAAAGUCAAUUAAAUACGUGCAGGGAAAUAAACAGGAGGCAUACCAAGACUUGAUACAUAGAAGAAGCAUGCUAAGAAUCCAACUUUUCAACACUUGAAUAUUUGAUGUUCUGAUAGUUGCUAUUCAACUUUAGUUUUUAGUCACUGGUUUCAUUAUGUGCAUUAGAUCAUCAGAACAAUCUGAUGGAGGCUGUAGAGUUUGUCCCAUGGUGUGUCACAUGAUGAUAAAGUCAGAUUUGCGAUACAGCUUAAACAGAACAUUUCCACCUUCAAAUUCUAGAUGCAAAAUGCCCUAAGGACAUUGAAAGUAGAACGCUUGAUGAAGGAUGGAAAAACAAUAUCUAAACCACUAAUUUUAAUGGCAAAUUUCAGCCUUCUGAGUUAAAAACCUUUUCACCUUUAAAUUAUCUUUUUCUGUUUUUAGUAAGAUGAACUUUAUGCUUCUCUCAAUCAUACAAAAAUGUUUGUGUGUGUGUGUGUGUGU